CCGCCGGCGACCGGCGCACGGGUGAGUAACACGUAUGCAACCUGGCCGUGACAGAUGAAUAACCGGGAGAAAUCCCGCCUAAUACAACAUAAUGCCGGGAGGGGACAUCCCCUGCCGGCCAAAGGGGGCGACCCCGGUCACGGAUGGGCAUGCGGCGCAUUAGGUAGUUGGUGGGGCAACGGCCCACCAAGCCGACGAUGCGUAGGGGUUCUGAGAGGAAGGUCCCCCACAUUGGAACUGAGACACGGUCCAAACUCCUACGGAAGGCAGCAG
RNAcentral lists this ribosomal RNA (273 nucleotides) under uncultured bacterium. RNAcentral's name for it is "partial 16S ribosomal RNA". It matches the Rfam family "Bacterial small subunit ribosomal RNA", at positions 85 to 354 of the family's 1533-position model. The record is from RNAcentral.